RNAcentral lists this ribosomal RNA (301 nucleotides) under uncultured bacterium. Its description in RNAcentral is "partial 16S ribosomal RNA". It matches the Rfam family "Bacterial small subunit ribosomal RNA", at positions 509 to 807 of the family's 1533-position model. The record is from RNAcentral.
CAGCCGCCGCGGGAAUACGUAGGUGGCAAGCGUUGUCCGGAAUUAUUGGGCGUAAAGGGCUCGCAGGCGGUUUCUUAAGUCUGAUGUGAAAGCCCCCGGCUCAACCGGGGAGGGUCAUUGGAAACUGGGAAACUUGAGUGCAGAAGAGGAGAGUGGAAUUCCACGUGUAGCGGUGAAAUGCGUAGAGAUGUGGAGGAACACCAGUGGCGAAGGCGACUCUCUGGUCUGUAACUGACGCCGAGGAGCGAAAGCGUGGGGAGCGAACAGGAUUAGAGACCCCCGUAGUCCCUGUCUCUUAUAC